Long non-coding RNA from Leopardus geoffroyi (Geoffroy's cat), 727 nucleotides. RefSeq lists it as uncharacterized. The record is from RefSeq and is a predicted model, not a curated record. NCBI's taxonomy places the organism in Eukaryota, Metazoa, Chordata, Mammalia, Carnivora, Felidae. The transcript has 3 exons.
CUAUGAUUGGAUGGAGUGUGCUUCUUUUUUUCUAGAAGAUUCCAUGAAGCUUCCCAGCAACUCUUUCAUUUCCUCCUCGUUACUGUCUGGCACAUCCAGUUUUCUAUUAAAUACUUGGACUUUAUCCCCUGAGAUGUAUCUACUUAUCAAGACAAGUUCUGCAGGAGAAAUAUCUAAAUCAACCUCCAAUAUUAGUGGGACCAGAAAGUUUGAUGGAAUGGAGGGAAAGCUGUAAACCUGACAGGCUCUACUGACUGGGAUCUGCUCCUCCACAGUUUCCUACCACCCAGAGCCGAGUACACCUUAACACAAGAAUUGAAACUGAACCAACAGUGGGUCAGGAAGUCCAGAUUUAGUGUACAUUCAUAAAUAUUUGUCACUGUUUGUAGAAAAAUAAAAAUAUGACCGAUUCUAAGUUAACAGGCGAGCACAGUAUUCUGAAAUACACUUUAUCAUCUAACAGAUCACGUGGUGAGAUUCCAAUCAUGUAUCAGCACGUGUUCUCAAAUUGCAGUCUUCUUUACUGGCAAUUAUGCUUGGACAUUUAUUGACAGAUAACUGCUGCUCUAGUACCUCACUUAUUUUACUUCAUGUGUUGACAUUUCCCAUUUCCUCAUAUUUUCAGAAAGCCUAGAGUACUUGAAGAAAACAGACACUUUGAUAUUACUUCUUAAAUCCUUUAUGUUUCAUUCAACAUGUGAAAAUAUCAUAAAGUUGCUAAUUCCUG